UGCAUAUCCAAAAAGCGGAGGAAAAGAAACUAACAAGGAUUCCCCUAGUAACUGCGAGUGAAGCGGGAAAAGCUCAAAUUUAAAAUCUGGUGGUCUUUGGCCAUCCGAGUUGUAAUCUAGAGAAGUGUUAUCCGCGCUGGACCGUGUACAAGUCCCCUGGAAUGGGGCGUCAUAGAGGGUGAGAAUCCCGUCUUUGACACGGACUACCAGGGCUUUGUGAUGCACUCUCAAAGAGUCGAGUUGUUUGGGAAUGCAGCUCAAAAUGGGUGGUAAAUUCCAUCUAAAGCUAAAUAUUGGCGAGAGACCGAUAGCGAACAAGUACCGUGAGGGAAAGAUGAAAAGAACUUUGGAAAGAGAGUUAAACAGUACGUGAAAUUGUUGAAAGGGAAACGCUUGAAGUCAGUCGCGUCUGCCAGGGAUCAACCUUACUUUUGUGAGGCGUACUUCCUGGUUGAUGGGUCAGCAUCAGUUUUGGUCGCUGGAUAAAGGUCAGAGAAAUGUGGCACCUUCGGGUGUGUUAUAGUCUUUGAUCAGAUACAGUGGCUGGGACUGAGGAACUCAGCGCCGCAAGGCUGUCUUAGGAUGCUGGCAAAAUGGCUUUAAUCGACCCGUCUUGAAACACGGACAAAGGAGUCA
Molecule: ribosomal RNA, 636 nt
Filed under: Pleurotus sp. 'Florida'
Lineage: Eukaryota; Fungi; Basidiomycota; Agaricomycetes; Agaricales; Pleurotaceae
Description: LSU rRNA
Rfam family: Eukaryotic large subunit ribosomal RNA
Source: RNAcentral